GACGAACGCUGGCGGCGUGCUUAACACAUGCAAGUCGAACGGAAAGGCCCUGCUUGCAGGGUACUCGAGUGGCGAACGGGUGAGUAACACGUGGGUGAUCUGCCCUGCACUUCGGGAUAAGCCUGGGAAACUGGGUCUAAUACCGGAUAGGAGCCAUUUUUAGUGUGAUGGUUGGAAAGUUUUUUCGGUGUAGGAUGAGCUCGCGGCCUAUCAGCUUGUUGGUGGGGUAAUGGCCUACCAAGGCGGCGACGGGUAGCCGGCCUGAGAGGGUGGACGGCCACAUUGGGACUGAGAUACGGCCCAGACUCCUACGGGAGGCAGCAGUGGGGAAUAUUGCACAAUGGGCGCAAGCCUGAUGCAGCGACGCCGCGUGGGGGAUGACGGCCUUCGGGUUGUAAACUCCUUUCGCUUGGGACGAAGCUUUUUGUGACGGUACCUAGAGAAGAAGCACCGGCUAACUACGUG
RNAcentral lists this ribosomal RNA (465 nucleotides) under uncultured bacterium. Its description in RNAcentral is "partial 16S ribosomal RNA". It matches the Rfam family "Bacterial small subunit ribosomal RNA", at positions 28 to 507 of the family's 1533-position model. The record is from RNAcentral.